This 650-nucleotide ribosomal RNA is filed under the name uncultured marine bacterium. RNAcentral's name for it is "bacterial SSU rRNA". It matches the Rfam family "Bacterial small subunit ribosomal RNA", at positions 87 to 732 of the family's 1533-position model. The record is from RNAcentral.
CGAGUAGAGCGGCGGACGGGUGAGUAACGCGUAGGAAUCUACCUAGUAGAAGGGGAUAGCCCGGGGAAACUCGGAUUAAUACCGUAUACCUCCUUAGGGAGAAAGAGGGCUUAGCUUUGAUGCUCUCGCUAUUAGAUGAGCCUGCGUAAGAUUAGCUUGUUGGUGAGGUAAUGGCUCACCAAGGCGACGAUCUUUAGCUGGUCUGAGAGGACGAUCAGCCACAUUGGGACUGAGACACGGCCCAGACUCCUACGGGAGGCAGCAGUGGGGAAUAUUGGACAAUGGGCGCAAGCCUGAUCCAGCCAUACCGCGUGUGUGAAGAAGGCUUUCGGGUUGUAAAGCACUUUAAGUAAGGAGGAAAAGAUUGUAGCUAAUACCUGCAAUCCGUGACGUUACUUACAGAAUAAGGACCGGCUAAUUCCGUGCCAGCAGCCGCGGUAAUACGGAAGGUCCAAGCGUUAAUCGGAAUUACUGGGCGUAAAGCGCGCGUAGGUGGUUUUUUAAGUUGGAUGUGAAAGCCCUGGGCUCAACCUAGGAACUGCAUCCAAAACUAGAUGACUAGAGUACGAAAGAGGGAAGUAGAAUUCACAGUGUAGCGGUGGAAUGCGUAGAUAUCAGGAGGAACACCAAUGGCGAAGGCAACAUUCUGG